This 253-nucleotide ribosomal RNA is filed under the name uncultured bacterium. Its description in RNAcentral is "partial 16S ribosomal RNA". It matches the Rfam family "Bacterial small subunit ribosomal RNA", at positions 524 to 776 of the family's 1533-position model. The record is from RNAcentral.
UACGGGGGGGGCAAGCGUUGUUCGGAAUUACUGGGCGUAAAGGGCUCGUAGGUGGCCAACUAAGUCAUACGUGAAAUCCCUCGGCUUAACCGGGGAACUGCGUCUGAUACUGGAUGGCUUGAGGUUGGGAGAGGGAUGCGGAAUUUCUGGUGUAGCAGUGAAAUGCGUAGAUAUCAGAAGGAACAUCAGUGGCGAAGGCGGCUUCCUGGACCAAUACUGACGAUCAGGUGCGAAAGCGUGGGGAGCAAACAGG